UGGGGAAUAUUGCACAAUGGGCGCAAGCCUGAUGCAGCGACGCCGCGUGGAGGAUGAAGGUUUUCGGAUUGUAAACUCCUGUUAAGUGGGAAGAAAGACUUGUACCUAAUACGUGCAGGGGAUGACGGUACCACUAGAGAAAGCACCGGCAAACUUCGUGCCAGCAGCCGCGGUAAUACGAAGGGUGCGAGCGUUAUUCGGAAUAACUGGGCGUAAAGAGCGUGAAGGCGGCUUUCUAAGUCAACUGUUAAAGAGCUCGGCUUAACUGAGCAAGUGCGGGUGAAACUAGAGAGCUAGAGUGCAGAAGAGAAAGGUAGAAUUCUCGGAGUAGCGGUAAAAUGCGUAGAUCUCGAGAGGAAUACCGGUUGCGAAGGCGGCCUUUUGGUCUGUAACUGACGCU
This 400-nucleotide ribosomal RNA is filed under the name uncultured bacterium. Its description in RNAcentral is "bacterial SSU rRNA". It matches the Rfam family "Bacterial small subunit ribosomal RNA", at positions 355 to 747 of the family's 1533-position model. The record is from RNAcentral.